This 1339-nucleotide ribosomal RNA is filed under the name Escherichia coli. RNAcentral describes it as "partial 23S ribosomal RNA". It matches the Rfam family "Bacterial large subunit ribosomal RNA", at positions 419 to 1760 of the family's 2925-position model. The record is from RNAcentral. Lineage: Bacteria; Pseudomonadati; Pseudomonadota; Gammaproteobacteria; Enterobacterales; Enterobacteriaceae.
GGGACACGUGGUAUCCUGUCUGAAUAUGGGGGGACCAUCCUCCAAGGCUAAAUACUCCUGACUGACCGAUAGUGAACCAGUACCGUGAGGGAAAGGCGAAAAGAACCCCGGCGAGGGGAGUGAAAAAGAACCUGAAACCGUGUACGUACAAGCAGUGGGAGCACGCUUAGGCGUGUGACUGCGUACCUUUUGUAUAAUGGGUCAGCGACUUAUAUUCUGUAGCAAGGUUAACCGAAUAGGGGAGCCGAAGGGAAACCGAGUCUUAACUGGGCGUUAAGUUGCAGGGUAUAGACCCGAAACCCGGUGAUCUAGCCAUGGGCAGGUUGAAGGUUGGGUAACACUAACUGGAGGACCGAACCGACUAAUGUUGAAAAAUUAGCGGAUGACUUGUGGCUGGGGGUGAAAGGCCAAUCAAACCGGGAGAUAGCUGGUUCUCCCCGAAAGCUAUUUAGGUAGCGCCUCGUGAAUUCAUCUCCGGGGGUAGAGCACUGUUUCGGCAAGGGGGUCAUCCCGACUUACCAACCCGAUGCAAACUGCGAAUACCGGAGAAUGUUAUCACGGGAGACACACGGCGGGUGCUAACGUCCGUCGUGAAGAGGGAAACAACCCAGACCGCCAGCUAAGGUCCCAAAGUCAUGGUUAAGUGGGAAACGAUGUGGGAAGGCCCAGACAGCCAGGAUGUUGGCUUAGAAGCAGCCAUCAUUUAAAGAAAGCGUAAUAGCUCACUGGUCGAGUCGGCCUGCGCGGAAGAUGUAACGGGGCUAAACCAUGCACCGAAGCUGCGGCAGCGACGCUUAUGCGUUGUUGGGUAGGGGAGCGUUCUGUAAGCCUGCGAAGGUGUGCUGUGAGGCAUGCUGGAGGUAUCAGAAGUGCGAAUGCUGACAUAAGUAACGAUAAAGCGGGUGAAAAGCCCGCUCGCCGGAAGACCAAGGGUUCCUGUCCAACGUUAAUCGGGGCAGGGUGAGUCGACCCCUAAGGCGAGGCCGAAAGGCGUAGUCGAUGGGAAACAGGUUAAUAUUCCUGUACUUGGUGUUACUGCGAAGGGGGGACGGAGAAGGCUAUGUUGGCCGGGCGACGGUUGUCCCGGUUUAAGCGUGUAGGCUGGUUUUCCAGGCAAAUCCGGAAAAUCAAGGCUGAGGCGUGAUGACGAGGCACUACGGUGCUGAAGCAACAAAUGCCCUGCUUCCAGGAAAAGCCUCUAAGCAUCAGGUAACAUCAAAUCGUACCCCAAACCGACACAGGUGGUCAGGUAGAGAAUACCAAGGCGCUUGAGAGAACUCGGGUGAAGGAACUAGGCAAAAUGGUGCCGUAACUUCGGGAGAAGGCACGCUGAUAUGUA